Molecule: ribosomal RNA, 252 nt
Filed under: uncultured bacterium
Lineage: Bacteria
Description: partial 16S ribosomal RNA
Rfam family: Bacterial small subunit ribosomal RNA
Source: RNAcentral
UACGGAGGAUGCGAGCGUUAUCCGGAUUUAUUGGGUUUAAAGGGUGCGUAGGCGGACGCUUAAGUCAGCGGUAAAAUUGCGGGGCUCAACCUCGUUGAGCCGUUGAAACUGGGUGCCUUGAGUGGGCGAGAAGUACGCGGAAUGCGUGGUGUAGCGGUGAAAUGCAUAGAUAUCACGCAGAACUCCGAUUGCGAAGGCAGCGUACCGGCGCCCAACUGACGCUGAAGCACGAAGGCGUGGGUAUCGAACAGG